AACGUAGGGGGCGAGCGUUGUCCGGAAUUACUGGGCGUAAAGGGCGUGUAGGCGGCUCGUGAAGUCAGGAGUGAAAACCCGGGGCUCAACCCCGGGCGUGCUUUUGAGACCAGCGGGCUUGAGUGCAGGAGAGGGAAGUGGAAUUCCCAGUGUAGCGGUGAAAUGCGUAGAUAUUGGGAGGAACACCAGUGGCGAAAGCGGCUUCCUGGCCUGUAACUGACGCUGAGGCGCGAAAGCGUGGGGAGCAAACAGGAUUAGAUACCCUGGUAGUCCACGCCGUAAACGAUGGGUGCUAAGUGUUGGGGGUAUCGACCCCCUCAGUGCUGUAGUUAACGCAAUAAGCACCCCGCCUGGGGAGUACGUUCGCAAGAAUGAA
This 376-nucleotide ribosomal RNA is filed under the name uncultured bacterium. RNAcentral's name for it is "bacterial SSU rRNA". It matches the Rfam family "Bacterial small subunit ribosomal RNA", at positions 524 to 898 of the family's 1533-position model. The record is from RNAcentral.